This 300-nucleotide ribosomal RNA is filed under the name uncultured Lactobacillus sp. RNAcentral describes it as "bacterial SSU rRNA". It matches the Rfam family "Bacterial small subunit ribosomal RNA", at positions 60 to 335 of the family's 1533-position model. Lineage: Bacteria; Bacillati; Bacillota; Bacilli; Lactobacillales; Lactobacillaceae. The record is from RNAcentral.
AGUCGAACGAAGCUUUCUUUCACCGAAUGCUUGCAUUCACCGAAAGAAGCUUAGUGGCGAACGGGUGAGUAACACGUAGGCAACCUGCCCAAAAGAGGGGGAUAACACUUGGAAACAGGUGCUAAUACCGCAUAACCAUGAACACCGCAUGAUGUUCAUGUAAAAGACGGCUUUUGCUGUCACUUUUGGAUGGGCCUGCGGCGUAUUAACUUGUUGGUGGGGUAACGGCCUACCAAGGUGAUGAUACGUAGCCGAACUGAGAGGUUGAUCGGCCACAUUGGGACUGAGACACGGCCCAAA